GACAGAGGGUGCAAGCGUUAAUCGGAAUUACUGGGCGUAAAGGGCGCGUAGGUGGAAGGAUAAGUGAGAGGUGAAAUACCCGGGCUCAACCUGGGGGAGUCCUAUUAGACUGUCCAUCUAAGAGUGUGGGAGAGGGUAGUGGAAUUUCCGGAGUAGCGGUGAAAUGCGUAGAUACCGGAAGGAACACCCGUGGCGAAGGCGGCUACCUGGCUUAACACUGACACUGAGGCGCGAAGGCGUGGGGAGCGAACAGG
This 254-nucleotide ribosomal RNA is filed under the name uncultured bacterium. RNAcentral describes it as "partial 16S ribosomal RNA". It matches the Rfam family "Bacterial small subunit ribosomal RNA", at positions 524 to 776 of the family's 1533-position model. The record is from RNAcentral.